Molecule: ribosomal RNA, 427 nt
Filed under: uncultured Methanomethylovorans sp.
Lineage: Archaea; Methanobacteriati; Methanobacteriota; Methanomicrobia; Methanosarcinales; Methanosarcinaceae
Description: bacterial SSU rRNA
Rfam family: Archaeal small subunit ribosomal RNA
Source: RNAcentral
UCCUGCCAGAGGUCACUGCUAUCGGUGUUCGACUAAGCCAUGCGAGUCAAAUGUUCUUCGUGAACAUGGCGUACUGCUCAGUAACACGUGGAUAAUCUGCCCUUAGGUCUGGCAUAACCCCGGGAAACUGGGGAUAAUUCCGGAUAGAUCAUAGAUGCUGGAAUGCACUGUGAUCCAAAGCUUUUGUGCCUAAGGAUGAGUCUGCGGUCUAUCAGGUUGUAGUGGGUGUAACGUACCUACUAGCCUACGACGGAUACGGGUUGUGGGAGCAAGAGCCCGGAGAUGGAUUCUGAGACAUGAAUCCAGGCCCUACGGGGCGCAGCAGGCGCGAAAACUUUACAAUGCAGGAAACUGCGAUAAGGGGACACCGAGUGCCAGCAUCCUAUGUUGGCUGUCCGCAUGUUUAAAUCACAUGUGUUAGCAAGGG